Molecule: ribosomal RNA, 580 nt
Filed under: Tricholomopsis osiliensis
Lineage: Eukaryota; Fungi; Basidiomycota; Agaricomycetes; Agaricales
Description: eukaryotic LSU rRNA
Rfam family: Eukaryotic large subunit ribosomal RNA
Source: RNAcentral
AAGAAACUAACAAGGAUUCCCCUAGUAACUGCGAGUGAAGCGGGAAAAGCUCAAAUUUAAAAUCUGGCAGUCUUUGGCUGUCCGAGUUGUAAUUUAGAGAAGCAUUGCCCGCGCUGGACUGUGUACAAGUCUCCUGGAAUGGAGCGUCAUAGAGGGUGAGAAUCCCGUAUAUGACACAGUUGCCAGGGCUUAGUGGCAUGCUCUCCAAGAGUCGAGUUGUUUGGGAAUGCAGCUCAAAAUGGGUGGUAAAUUCCAUCUAAAGCUAAAUAUAGGCGAGAAACCGAUAGCGAACAAGUACCGUGAGGGAAAGAUGAAAAGAACUUUGGAAAGAGAGUUAAACAGUACGUGAAAUUGUUGAAAGGGAAACGCUUGAAGUCAGUCGCAUUGCUGGAAAUCACGCUUGCUUUUUUGCUUGUGGCUCUUUCCUAGUAAUGGGUCAGCAUCAGUUUUGAUUGUUGGACAAGGGUCAGAGGAAUGUGGCAUCCUUGGAUGUGUUAUAGCCUCUGAUCAUAUGCAAUGAUUGAGACUGAGGAACUCGGCACUUGUGCUUAGGAUGCUGGCAUAAUGGCUUUAAUCGACC